This 374-nucleotide ribosomal RNA is filed under the name uncultured bacterium. Its description in RNAcentral is "bacterial SSU rRNA". It matches the Rfam family "Bacterial small subunit ribosomal RNA", at positions 525 to 896 of the family's 1533-position model. The record is from RNAcentral.
ACGUAGGGUGCAAGCAUUGUCCGGAUUUAUUGGGCGUAAAGAGCUCGUAGGCGGCUUGUCACGUCGGAUGUGAAAACUCGGGGCUCAACCCCGAGCCUGCAUUCGAUACGGGCUAGCUAGAGUGUUGCAGGGGAGACUGGAAUUCCUGGUGUAGCGGUGAAAUGCGCAGAUAUCAGGAGGAACACCGGUGGCGAAGGCGGGUCUCUGGGCAACUACUGACGCUGAGGAGCGAAAGCGUGGGGAGCAAACAGGAUUAGAUACCCUGGUAGUCCACGCCGUAAACGGUGGGCGCUAGGUGUGGGGAACCUUCCACGUUCUCUGUGCCGAAGCUAACGCAUUAAGCGCCCCGCCUGGGGAGUACGGCCGCAAGGCUA